UGGUCUGAGAGGAUGGUCAGCCACACUGGGACUGAGACACUGCCCAGACUCCUACGGGAGGCUGCAGUCGAGGAUCUUUGUCAAUGCGCGGAAGCGUGAACAUGCGACGCUGCGUGGAGGAUGAAGGCUUUCGGGUUGUAAACUCCUGUCAUCCGGGAAAAACGAGUGGGCCGUUAAUAGCGGUUCGCAGUGAUGGUACCGGAAGAGGAAGCCACGGCUAACUCUGUGCCAGCAGCCGCGGUAAUACAGAGGUGGCGAGCGUUGUUCGGAUUUACUGGGCGUAAAGAGUGCGUAGGUGGCUUCGUAUGUCGGACGUGAAAGCCCACGGCUCAACCGUGGAAUUGCAUUCGAAACUGCGGGGUUUGAGUGCAGGAGAGGAGAGCGGAAUUCCUGGUGUAGCGGUGAAAUGCGUUGAUACCAGGAAGAACACCGGUGGCGAAGGCGGCUCUCUGGAAUGUUACUGACACUGAGGCACGAAAGCUGGGGGAGCGAACAGGAUUAGAUACCCUGGUAGUCCCAGCCGUAAACGGUGUGCACUUGGUGUAGGGGGUAUUGAUCCCCUCUGUGCCGGAGCUAACGCGUUAAGUGCACUGCCUGGGGAGUACGGCCGCAAGGCUAAAACUCAAAGAAAUUGACGGGGGCCCGCACAAGCGGAGGAGCAUGUGGCUCAAUUCGAUGCAACGCGAAGAACCUUACCAGGGCUUGACAUGUAGCUGCACGCCCGCCGAAAGGUGGGAAGCCUUCGAGGGUGCUACACAGGUGCUGCAUGGCUGUCGCCAGUUCGUGCCGUGAGGUGUUGGGUUAAGUCCCGCAACGAACGCAACCCUUGUGUCUAGUUGCCACCGGAGGUGAUGAGCCUUCGAGCACUCUAGACAGACUGCCCGUACAAGCGGGAGGAAGGUGGGGAUGACGUCAAGUCAGUAUGGCCCUUACGUCCUGGGCUGCACACGUGCUACAAUGGUCGGUACAGAGGGAUGCAAGACCGCGAGGUGGAGCAAAUCCCGAAAGCUGACCUCAGUUCGGAUUGGAGUCUGCAACUCGACUCCAUGAAGUUGGAUUCGCUAGUAACGGCGUAUCAGCUACGGCGCCGUGAAUACGUUCCCGGGCCUUGUACACACCGCCCGUCACAUCAUGAAAGCCGUCAGCACCCGAAGUCGCUGACCCAACUUGCAAAAGAGGGAGGCGCCGAAGGUGUGGGUGGUGAUUGGGAUGAAGUCGAAACAAGGUA
RNAcentral lists this ribosomal RNA (1228 nucleotides) under metagenome. RNAcentral's name for it is "bacterial SSU rRNA". It matches the Rfam family "Bacterial small subunit ribosomal RNA", at positions 288 to 1498 of the family's 1533-position model. The record is from RNAcentral.